RNAcentral lists this ribosomal RNA (448 nucleotides) under uncultured bacterium. Its description in RNAcentral is "partial 16S ribosomal RNA". It matches the Rfam family "Bacterial small subunit ribosomal RNA", at positions 29 to 523 of the family's 1533-position model. The record is from RNAcentral.
AACGAACGCUGGCGGCAGGCUUAACACAUGCAAGUCGAGCGCCCCGUAAGGGGAGCGGCAGACGGGUGAGUAACGCGUGGGAAUCCACCCAUCCCUACGGAAUAGCUCCGGGAAACUGGAAUUAAUACCGUAUACGCCCUACGGGGGAAAGAUUUAUCGGGGAUGGAUGAGCCCGCGUUGGAUUAGCUAGUUGGUGGGGUAAAGGCCUACCAAGGCGACGAUCCAUAGCUGGUCUGAGAGGAUGAUCAGCCACAGUGGAACUGAGACACGGUCCACACUCCUACGGGAGGCAGCAGUAGGGAAUUUUGCGCAAUGGGCGAAAGCCUGACGCAGCGACACCGCGUGGAGGAUGAAGGUUUUCGGAUCGUAAACUCCUUUUGGCAGGGAAGAAUUUUGACGGUACCUGCAGAAUAAGCACCGGCUAACUACGUGCCAGCCGCCGCGGUAA